This 497-nucleotide ribosomal RNA is filed under the name uncultured bacterium. RNAcentral describes it as "partial 16S ribosomal RNA". It matches the Rfam family "Bacterial small subunit ribosomal RNA", at positions 28 to 507 of the family's 1533-position model. The record is from RNAcentral.
GAUGAACGCUGGCGGCGUGCCUAAUACAUGCAAGUCGAGCGAACAGAUAAGGAGCUUGCUCCUUUGACGUUAGCGGCGGACGGGUGAGUAACACGUGGAUAACCUACCUAUAAGACUGGGAUAACUUCGGGAAACCGGAGCUAAUACCGGAUAACAUAUUGAACCGCAUGGUUCAAUAGUGAAAGGCGGCUUUGCUGUCACUUAUAGAUGGAUCCGCGCCGUAUUAGCUAGUUGGUAAGGUAACGGCUUACCAAGGCAACGAUACGUAGCCGACCUGAGAGAGGGAUCGGCCACACUGGAACUGAGACACGGUCCAGACUCCUACGGGAGGCAGCAGUAGGGAAUCUUCCGCAAUGGGCGAAAGCCUGACGGAGCAACGCCGCGUGAGUGAUGAAGGUCUUCGGAUCGUAAAACUCUGUUAUCAGGGAAGAACAAAUGUGUAAGUAACUGUGCACAUCUUGACGGUACCUGAUCAGAAAGCCACGGCUAACUACGUG